RNAcentral lists this long non-coding RNA (200 nucleotides) under Capsicum annuum. RNAcentral's name for it is "long non-coding RNA (CANN_LNC002758)". The record is from RNAcentral. Lineage: Eukaryota; Viridiplantae; Streptophyta; Magnoliopsida; Solanales; Solanaceae.
CACUAUGUAAUAACCUGCAAACCACGCAGGAGAAGUAGAUCGCAUUAGACAAGUCCUAUGUGACAGAUCCGAUUCGGAAGGUAUUGAGGUGGAUCGAACUCAGAUCAUCUAUGUGGAUAACCACUGUCACGCCAAUUUAGAACCGAUCGAAACAGUAUACAACAUAUGGUGGCGUUAUGAAAAGAUUGUUGUUUGUUUCG